AGAGAGGUGUCUGAGCGGUUUAAGGAGCACGCCUGGAAAGCGUGUAUAGGUUAAUAGCCUAUCGAGGGUUCGAAUCCCUUCCUCUCUG
Molecule: transfer RNA, 88 nt
Filed under: Hydrogenovibrio sp. SC-1
Lineage: Bacteria; Pseudomonadati; Pseudomonadota; Gammaproteobacteria; Thiotrichales; Piscirickettsiaceae
Rfam family: tRNA
About the family: Transfer RNA (tRNA) molecules are approximately 80 nucleotides in length. Their secondary structure includes four short double-helical elements and three loops (D, anti-codon, and T loops).
Source: Rfam by way of RNAcentral